RNAcentral lists this long non-coding RNA (570 nucleotides) under Vigna radiata. Its description in RNAcentral is "long non-coding RNA (VRAD_LNC002366)". Lineage: Eukaryota; Viridiplantae; Streptophyta; Magnoliopsida; Fabales; Fabaceae. The record is from RNAcentral.
CAGGAAAUCAAACGUCAAUCCGUUCAGCUUCCUAGACGUCGACUCCCCUCGAAACCGACGUCUAAUGGGUAUUCAAAAAGUCAGUUUAAAUGUUAACUUGGACGUCAUAUUAGUGGGAUAACCGACGUCUAUGUGACUAUAGACGUCGGUUUCUGGAGCAACCAACGCCCAAUUUCAUUUUAAAUAAACCGCAAACUCUUCGCGACAUUCAGUUUCUGAUAUCGUCUUCCUCUUCUCCUUUUUCUCUUGAGACACCUCUUCUUUUUCUCGGUUGCGGCACCUCUUCUUUUUUCUCUCUUGCGGCAUUCCAUUGUUGUUUCUGAUAUCUUUAUCGUCUUCCUCCUCUCCUUUUUCUCUCUUGUGGCAUUGCAUCCCAGGUGCGUGGUUUUUUUUAUGCUUACCGUUUAAACUUUGUUUAGUUUAGUCUUUCAUCGAUUAUCUUCUGGUUCAACUGAUUAAAAUUUGCUUUCUUUGUGUUGUGUUUUAGUGCAGUUUUGUUCCUUUCUUGGGGUAACGUAGUAACACAUUCUCUAUUUGCUAGCUGCCUCCCAGAAAAAGCGGCGUCUUGUG